RNAcentral lists this ribosomal RNA (206 nucleotides) under uncultured bacterium. Its description in RNAcentral is "partial 16S ribosomal RNA". It matches the Rfam family "Bacterial small subunit ribosomal RNA", at positions 568 to 774 of the family's 1533-position model. The record is from RNAcentral.
CGCGCAGGCGGUUCUUCAAGUCAGAGGUGAAAGCCCAGAGCUCAACUCUGGAAUGGCCUUUGAGACUAGAGAACUAGGGUACGGGAGAGGUGAGUGGAAUUCCGAGUGUAGAGGUGAAAUUCGUAGAUAUUCGGAAGGACACCAGUGGCGAAGGCGGCUCACUGGCCCGUUACCGACGCUCAGGCGCGACAGCGUGGGAGCAAACA